This 117-nucleotide ribosomal RNA is filed under the name Syrphidae sp. CH-2014. RNAcentral describes it as "partial 16S ribosomal RNA". The record is from RNAcentral. Lineage: Eukaryota; Metazoa; Arthropoda; Insecta; Diptera; Syrphidae.
AAGAUUUUAAAAGUCGAACAGACUUAAAAUUUAAACUACUGCACCUAAAUUUAUAUCUUAAUCCAACAUCGAGGUCGCAAUCUUUUUUAUCAAUAUGAACUCUCCAAAAAAAUUACG